UACGAAGGGGGCUAGCGUUGCUCGGAAUCACUGGGCGUAAAGGGUGCGUAGGCGGGUCUUUAAGUCAGGGGUGAAAUCCUGGAGCUCAACUCCAGAACUGCCUUUGAUACUGAAGAUCUUGAGUUCGGGAGAGGUGAGUGGAACUGCGAGUGUAGAGGUGAAAUUCGUAGAUAUUCGCAAGAACACCAGUGGCGAAGGCGGCUUACUGGCUCAUUUCUGACGCUGAGGUGCGAAAGCGUGGGGAGCAAACAGG
This 253-nucleotide ribosomal RNA is filed under the name uncultured bacterium. RNAcentral's name for it is "partial 16S ribosomal RNA". It matches the Rfam family "Bacterial small subunit ribosomal RNA", at positions 524 to 776 of the family's 1533-position model. The record is from RNAcentral.